CCCAGGGUGAAGGGCAGGGAGUAGAAUGAGCUGUUUAAGUUCACCCCACACUGUCAACUUGGACUAGAACCCCUCUACUGCCUCUCUGUCCCUGGGCUGUCCUGCUAGGGAAAUCUCAGGCUCACAAGGAUGCCUAAUGCCCUCAAGGCGCUCUAAACUGUGAGUGACUUUUGGAUGUUCCCACCACCUCAAGGAGACAUGAUCUGAUGUCACAUUCCAAGCCCUUGACUUCCCUCUGAACUUGAACCUUUUAGACAAAAGAGAAGGACUCCUCUUGGUGAGAGUCAAUUUUAGAAGAAUCAGGAAGAUCCUAACAUACCAACCUGAGAGCAGCCCCUGGAUUUGCGCUUUUCCUGGGCUGCUGCUGUGAUCUCUGAACAAGACACCGGACAUGCAUGUAUCCUAAGUUGUGUUGUCUCGUCCUUUGAACAAGAUGUGGAAAUUAAGGCUCAAGUCUCACAAUUAACACUGAACACCUAGCUACACUGUCCUUGGAAUAUCAGAAUGAGGAGCACAGAAGGAUCAGCUGGAACAGUCUGGGUGCCUCUUGCUGAGCUGGAAGAGAAAAGAGGGGAAAGAGGAAGUCACAGGCAGAGAGAAAAGUCUUCUGAAGACUUACAGAAUGUAAGAUGAGGCAGUUUGGGCACCAACUGCCUAGCAUGAGUGAUCUCAGAAAGGCCAGCUGUG
Molecule: long non-coding RNA, 687 nt
Organism: Canis lupus familiaris (dog)
Lineage: Eukaryota; Metazoa; Chordata; Mammalia; Carnivora; Canidae
Exons: 3
Source: RefSeq, a predicted model, not a curated record